AUGUAGGUAGUGUGACCUGUUGAAAUACACCUAGGAAUUGUAUAAGGAAAUGAAUGUGGCUUCCAUCUUCCUUUGGGAAAACAGACCACAGCCGUUCACCAAACCAAGCAUAAUACAGGGACAUCUGGUGGCUGAGUAACCUAAACGUUGAGAAGACACUGUAAAGAGACUGGUACUUCUAAGUCUACUUCAAUGAGAGAGUCUCUUUUUCUUAAAACUGAAGUAUCUUCUGAGGAAAUGAAAUGCAACAGAACCUGAUGUUUUACCUAACAAUGAAUAAUUCAUAUAAAAUGAAUGGGAAAUAAAAUACCAUCUUUACUAGUGAAAAUAUGAACAACUUUUUCCCCUUUGAAAAAAGUGGGUAACUACAGAACUUGGAAAACUAUUUGAAAUAUAUCAACUACUAUAUAACAAAUAAUAGUUUUGGUUUGGGUUUUGUUUUUAUUUCAACCAUCCAUGUUGGUUACUUUUAUGAUGUUCACAUAAGCUAGCUAGAAUUAUAACGUAAAUUUACCACA
This is a long non-coding RNA of Gymnogyps californianus (California condor), 518 nucleotides long. RefSeq lists it as uncharacterized. The record is from RefSeq and is a predicted model, not a curated record. NCBI's taxonomy places the organism in Eukaryota, Metazoa, Chordata, Aves, Accipitriformes, Cathartidae. The transcript has 3 exons.